CUAGCGACUUCAGAGUUUGAUCCUGGCUCAGGAUGAACGCUAGCUACAGGCUUAACACAUGCAAGUCGAGGGGCAGCAUUAGGUAGCAAUACUGAGAUGGCGACCGGCGCACGGGUGCGUAACGCGUAUCCAACCUUCCCGUUACUCUUGGAUAGCCUUCCGAAAGGGAGAUUAAUACAGGAUGGUGUUUGAAUUCCGCAUGUUAUUCAAACUAAAGAUUUAUCGGUAACGGAUGGGGAUGCGUGACACUAGAUAGUAGGCGGGGUAACGGCCCACCUAGUCUACGAUGUCUAGGGGUUCUGAGAGGAAGGUCCCCCACACUGGAACUGAGACACGGUCCAG
This 342-nucleotide ribosomal RNA is filed under the name uncultured bacterium. RNAcentral's name for it is "bacterial SSU rRNA". It matches the Rfam family "Bacterial small subunit ribosomal RNA", at positions 1 to 334 of the family's 1533-position model. The record is from RNAcentral.